This is an unclassified non-coding RNA of 395 nucleotides. The stretch from base 1 to 46 matches the Rfam family "Eukaryotic small subunit ribosomal RNA", at positions 1786 to 1831 of the family's 1831-position model.
AAGUCGUAACAAGGUUUCCGUAGGUGAACCUGCGGAAGGAUCAUUAGCGAGUGGCUUGAGGACCGUUUUUUGGGACUCGGUUACCCGACCUUUAUGUCAUGUGGGCCGUCUGGAGUCGGAGACGAAUCUUCUGUUACCGGUGGAGUUUUCCCGAGCCGUUUUUGCGGUGGGGACGAAGGUGGUGAUGGAGGAGACGAGGAGGACGAGGACGGCAAGUAGUAUUUCGGCGGAAGCGGUAAGGAAGCGUGUCUUUUCUCUCUCUUUGGGAGAGGGGAGAGUGGCGAUCUGCCCGCCGCCGGCGGUAUUUCCCAGUCUUGUGAGGAAGCAUGAAGUCUGAAGGGAGAAAAGAAAGACCAAGAAAAGCAAAACUUUCAACAACGGAUCUCUUGGCUCUG